This 311-nucleotide ribosomal RNA is filed under the name uncultured bacterium. Its description in RNAcentral is "bacterial SSU rRNA". It matches the Rfam family "Bacterial small subunit ribosomal RNA", at positions 202 to 507 of the family's 1533-position model. The record is from RNAcentral.
GCAAGGCCUUGCGUCGAUGGAGCGGCCGAUGUCGGAUUAGCUAGUUGGUGGGGUAAAGGCUCACCAAGGCGACGAUCCGUAGCUGGUCUGAGAGGACGACCAGCCCACACUGGGACUGAGACACGGCCCAGACUCCUACGGGAGGCAGCAGUGGGGAAUCUUGGACAAUGGGCGCAAGCCUGAUCCAGCAAUGCCGCGUGUGGGAAGAAGGCCUUCGGGUUGUAAACCACUUUUGGCAGGAAAGAAAUCGUCCGUGCUAAUACCAUGGAUGGAUGACGGUACCUGCAGAAUAAGCACCGGCUAACUACGUG